UACAGAGGGUGCAAACGUUGCUCGGAAUCAUUGGGCGUAAAGCGCACGUAGGCGGCCUGAUAAGUCGGUAGUGAAAGCCCUCGGCUUAACCGAGGAAGUGCUAUCGAGACUGCCAGGCUUGAGUACCGGAGAGGAUCGCGGAAUUCCCGGUGUAGAGGUGAAAUUCGUAGAUAUCGGGAGGAACACCAGUAGCGAAGGCGGCGAUCUGGACGGAUACUGACGCUGAGGUGCGAAAGCGUGGGGAGCAAACAGG
Molecule: ribosomal RNA, 253 nt
Filed under: uncultured bacterium
Lineage: Bacteria
Description: partial 16S ribosomal RNA
Rfam family: Bacterial small subunit ribosomal RNA
Source: RNAcentral